Molecule: ribosomal RNA, 375 nt
Filed under: uncultured bacterium
Lineage: Bacteria
Description: bacterial SSU rRNA
Rfam family: Bacterial small subunit ribosomal RNA
Source: RNAcentral
AUACGUAGGGGGCGAGCGUUGUCCGGAAUUACUGAGCGUAAAGCGCGCGCAGGCGGCUUUUUAAGUCAGGUGUCAAACUGCGGGGCUCAACCCCGUAUCGCACUUGAAACUGGCAGGCUUGAGUGCAGGAGAGGGAAGUGGAAUUCCUAGUGUAGCGGUGAAAUGCGUAGAUAUUAGGAGGAACACCAGUGGCGAAGGCGACUUCCUGGACUGUAACUGACGCUCAGGCGCGAAAGCUAGGGGAGCAAACAGGAUUAGAUACCCUGGUAGUCCUAGCCGUAAACGAUGGGUACUAGGUGUUGGGGGUGACAAUCCCCCAGUGCCGCAGUUAACGCAUUAAGUACCCCGCCUGGGGACUACGGCCGCAAGGCUGAA